GCAGUUGGGGGAGGGGUCACAGAGGCAGGGGGGAGAAGGUUCCGUGGCAGUUGUGGGGAGGGUCACAGAGGCAGUGAGGAAGAUUCCGUGACAGUUGGGAGAAGGGAGGCCAGAAGGUUCCGUGGCAGUUGGAAGAAAUGGGUCACAGACGUAUCUGGGGCCCAGGGUGGAGCAUGGUAUGGAAGUCAAUUAGGAUCUAGGGUUGCCAACACUGUAUUUCAAAAACAGACUGUUUUCUUAGCACCCCUGCCCCCUCCCUCUUCCCAAUAUUAAUUAUGAAGAAGAACUCACCUAUGUUCACCAGGAGUAUUUCUUGCUGCUUUUUGCAGCACUCAGCAACUCCCAAUCUUGUACAGAGAUGAAAAAAUAAGGGAUGUCCCUUGUAAUACAGGACUGUUGGCAGCCCUAGGACUCCCAAGGUAUUAGAGCCCAUGUGAACUAGCAGAUGAAAUGCCUGCUGCAUUUGCCUCAGUUGGCCCUUUGUCGGUGAUCGUUGCCAGAUUAGGCUUGGUGACCACAGCACUCUUCGACCUCCUGAGAGGACACAGUUUCCAGAAGUCUGGGAGGGACCAAGAGUGAAAAUGCACGAGCGUCCUGGACUUCACUCAUCAACAGGAAAGCUGUCGGAUCCCUGUAAACCAUCAAUCACAGACUCCUGCAGGGAAGAACAACAGGUACCUGAGUUCAGCUGAACCUGCUGGAUAGGAAUGGUUGAUCCACAGGGUGCUGUAGCCCAGGGAUGGUCUAAAUGUGGAAGAAUUGUGGUAAAGGCAAAAGACCUCAAAUGGUGCAUUCAGAGAAACUGGGAAGAGGACAAACUUACAGCUAGCCCUGUAACCAUGACAGCCCCAACCACUCAAACACACCAGAAUCCAAAUGGGAAGAUUAUGACUCCCAGCUCGAGGAUGGGGGAACAGAGGCGGUGAAGGCACCUGCUGCUGGAUCAGGUGUGAUCCAACAUGUUGAAUGGCCCCUGAGAAAUUAAUUUAAAGUGCUCAUGGACAACCACACAGGCUACUUUUCUGGUGCUCAGGCUGUGAUGCAUGAUGAAUGAUUUGCUCCUUUUGUUUAGGAGGAUCUAUUGUAAUGGCCCAGGCUGGCUGGAAGUAUUGAUGGAAAGAGACUAAACUAUUAUAAAGAAUCUGAAUACACCAGAAGGCAAUGAUUGUGAUUCCUAGAUCCUGGUUUCCAACAGAAGUGAGACUAGACAGCUUUUCGUCACAGGCCUCCUUUUGCAACAUGCAAUCAGGGAAGAAGAAAAAAAGCCACUCCAGUGCACAUCUCCAUUCUAUUGCACACAAUCAAAUGUUUCCGUAAGAUGCAAUUCAGACCUGAUCCAAAACAUAUUGAAAUCAAUGGGAUUAGGUCUUUAACCACCUUCAAGUUUGCAGAAGAACACUACAGCAUGUUAAAGCAACCAGCACACUGCUGGUGACAUACAAAUAAUAAACAACAACUUCUAUGCAAUUUAUCCUGACCCUUCACCAAAGCAUAAAGGAAAAAUAAUUUUGAUCUAAGGAUAUUUUUCUACUUCAUUAAAAUAUUUGAACUAUACCCCUUCACAACCCCAAAAUGUCUAGCGGGAAACCAGUCUUAAAGCAGACAGCCAAAUGACAAGCAACAAAAGAAAAAAUGAGACAUGGUCCUUCAAUGAGGGAUCAUACUAGAAAAUGGGGAUACUUUAAAAGAGGUCACCCUUAGUAGAGUGAAUACCUGUUGAAGGUGUCCUUAGUGCAGGUUCCACUGAUUUGACCCAGAAGCUUACAGUGAAAAGGGCAAACUGAAUUUUAAGACAAAACCUGCUGCUACUGGGAAGAGUAAGCCUUUGGCAUGGAACAUGGCUGAGAGUUGUUGCACUCUAUUUGCUGAAUUUCAUAUCCUGUAAUUUCACAAUUUCAAUCCAACAUCAUCAGGCACAGUGAACCACUAUAGUGCAUUUUAGCUGUGUUGAGCGUAAAUUAAAACCAAUCCAAUAAAAACUAAUAUUUCCCCUGCCUCUUCCUUGCAAUGACUUAACAUAAUUGUCUCCACCUUCUUGGCAUCAGAUGAGGCAAAGCAAAAUGACCAAAAGGAAUUUAAUAGAGGACUUAAAAGUUACUGACGUCAUAUCUUUGCCUGUCCCAUGCUUGCCCAAGACACACGUUUUGUAAAUAUUUUAAACCCUCUUUGUUACAGAUUUUAAAAUAUCAAAAGUUUUAGAAAACACACAUUUGGGUACCAAAAAAGUCACAAGUCAGAUCUUCAGCUGGUGUAAAUCAAUGUAAUUCCAGUAGAGCAACAGAGAUUCACAGGAGCUGCAGAUCUGGCCAGAACUCCCCAUAAUCCAAUAUGGAUCUCUGAUGGAUAUGAACAUGUACCAACAGGGACAACUUACAGACCAGGGACUUGGCAGCUCUGGUUGCACUACAUUCCAUGGACACCCUCCACCCCCAAUAGGGUGGGCAGGAUGUUGAGGAUCAAUCUCAACCCUGGAAUAAGCAGAAACAGUUCUCCUAAAGGCAAUGGAGUUGCUCUGGUUACAUGAGGGCUGAAUGUGGCCCUUAAAUAUUUGAUUAAAUUCCCAUUUAUUUCCAAAGGUUGUUCAGAAAGCCAUGGAGUGGUGGGGAUCUUUGUAAUAAAACAAGGUGGAAUUCACCUCUGUACAGAAGCAUGGAUGGCCCAAACACCACUUAAGUCCCACUUAAACCCUGUUUAGAGAGCUUAAGAGGUGUAUGGAUCAUCUACUGACCCUCUGCUCAAGGAUAAGUUCCAC
Long non-coding RNA from Mauremys reevesii (Reeves's turtle), 2752 nucleotides. RefSeq lists it as uncharacterized. NCBI's taxonomy places the organism in Eukaryota, Metazoa, Chordata, Testudines, Geoemydidae. The transcript is spliced from 3 exons. The record is from RefSeq and is a predicted model, not a curated record.